AGUGCUUGCUACUGGACCUAGCGGCGGACGGGUGAGUAAUGCUUAGGAAUCUGCCUAUUAGUGGGGGACAACAUCUCGAAAGGGAUGCUAAUACCGCAUACGUCCUACGGGAGAAAGCAGGGGAUCUUCGGACCUUGCGCUAAUAGAUGAGCCUAAGUCGGAUUAGCUAGUUGGUGGGGUAAAGGCCUACCAAGGCGACGAUCUGUAGCGGGUCUGAGAGGAUGAUCCGCCACACUGGGACUGAGACACGGCCCAGACUCCUACGGGAGGCAGCAGUGGGGAAUAUUGGACAAUGGGGGGAACCCUGAUCCAGCCAUGCCGCGUGUGUGAAGAAGGCCUUAUGGUUGUAAAGCACUUUAAGCGAGGAGGAGGCUACUUUAGUUAAUACCUAGAGAUAGUGGACGUUACUCGCAGAAUAAGCACCGGCUAACUCUGUGCCAGCAGCCGCGGUAAUACAGAGGGUGCGAGCGUUAAUCGGAUUUACUGGGCGUAAAGCGUGCGUAGGCGGCUUAUUAAGUCGGAUGUGAAAUCCCCGAGCUUAACUUGGGAAUUGCAUUCGAUACUGGUGAGCUAGAGUAUGGGAGAGGAUGGUAGAAUUCCAGGUGUAGCGGUGAAAUGCGUAGAGAUCUGGAGGAAUACCGAUGGCGAAGGCAGCCAUCUGGCCUAAUACUGACGCUGAGGUACGAAAGCAUGGGGAGCAAACAGGAUUAGAUACCCUGGUAGUCCAUGCCGUAAACGAUGUCUACUAGCCGUUGGGGCCUUUGAGGCUUUAGUGGCGCAGCUAACGCGAUAAGUAGACCGCCUGGGGAGUACGGUCGCAAGACUAAAACUCAAAUGAAUUGACGGGGGCCCGCACAAGCGGUGGAGCAUGUGGUUUAAUUCGAUGCAACGCGAAGAACCUUACCUGGCCUUGACAUACUAGAAACUUUCCAGAGAUGGAUUGGUGCCUUCGGGAAUCUAGAUACAGGUGCUGCAUGGCUGUCGUCAGCUCGUGUCGUGAGAUGUUGGGUUAAGUCCCGCAACGAGCGCAACCCUUUUCCUUACUUGCCAGCAUUUCGGAUGGGAACUUUAAGGAUACUGCCAGUGACAAACUGGAGGAAGGCGGGGACGACGUCAAGUCAUCAUGGCCCUUACGGCCAGGGCUACACACGUGCUACAAUGGUCGGUACAAAGGGUUGCUACACAGCGAUGUGAUGCUAAUCUCAAAAAGCCGAUCGUAGUCCGGAUUGGAGUCUGCAACUCGACUCCAUGAAGUCGAAAUCGCUAGAAUCGCGAACC
Molecule: ribosomal RNA, 1278 nt
Filed under: Acinetobacter baumannii
Lineage: Bacteria; Pseudomonadati; Pseudomonadota; Gammaproteobacteria; Moraxellales; Moraxellaceae
Description: bacterial SSU rRNA
Rfam family: Bacterial small subunit ribosomal RNA
Source: RNAcentral